GUUUUAAUAAUUUAAUAUAAAAUACUAGUCUUGUAAACUAGAGAUAAGACCUUUCUUUUAAAACU
Molecule: transfer RNA, 65 nt
Filed under: Curculionoidea sp. 3 KM-2017
Lineage: Eukaryota; Metazoa; Arthropoda; Insecta; Coleoptera
Description: tRNA-Thr
Rfam family: tRNA
About the family: Transfer RNA (tRNA) molecules are approximately 80 nucleotides in length. Their secondary structure includes four short double-helical elements and three loops (D, anti-codon, and T loops).
Source: RNAcentral